AAUUUGUGUUGACACUGGAAAACAGAGUUGAGAACCAUCAGAAGUGGACGGACAGAGGACUCAGGAAAUAGAAACAUAUGGUUGAUUUUCUUGCUCUGAAAAUACCAUCGAGAUGUCCCAGUCCGUUGAGGAGAAAAGUAUUAUACUCUUCUGAGCGACAAGUGCCUUUUGCUGAACAGAGUGCUUUUCUUCCUUCCAAGCUCAUAGGACAAUAAAUCUACAAAGCACAAUCUGGAUUUCUUUCUGAAAGCAGUGCAAGAUACAGAGGAAAGAAUUUACAGUGAUUUUACACUCAGACCUUCUUUUUUUCUUUUUCUUUUUUUUUCCUUAAAUUUGAUGUGAAGUUCCUAGGAAAUUAUGUGUUUAUGUUAAUGUAACAUUAAGCUUGAUAAAUCAAGUUCUCAAAUGUCAUGAAAUGCAGAAGUCAGGCUGUAGGCUCAACCUUUACUCUGGCUCUUUGCCUCUUUCUUAAAAUACAGUCUGUCUCUAUGUUGUUAUAAAUUAUUACUCAGAUUACGUAGGAGUCAGUAUAACACAAACUGGAAUUUCCUACAAGGCUUUAUAAAUAGUAAACUCAUGACAGAAAAUGCUGUGCAGCUGGACUAUAUAAGGAAAGAAGCAUUUUACUCACAAAUGCUUCCGUAUGUUCUUUGUUGUGUUUCAGUUUGGCAUGAUCAUCUCUCUACCAUUAUUCAUGCAAGAUUUUGGUUAUCAGAGCUAUUGUGGAGGUGCUGUUCCUCACAGUGACACUGAUAUUCAUGUGCAAAUGAAAGUAUUCAUAUGUGAACACGAGUAUUCAUUUUUUCCUGCCAAUGCUGCUGGAUACUGAAGAUAAGCCUUCCUGGCCUCAAAGGAUAGAAGGAGCUCCCUGGGUCCAAGAAGUCCCAUUCCUGCCCUGCACCCAGGUCAGCCCAUUCACAGCAACGUUAAGCCUUGGUGGAAAAUUUGCCUUGUGUCUGAAACACAGACAGAAAGAAGAAAGAGAGGAGAGGCUCAGAUGUUUGUAGCAAUCUGGUCUGUUUUGAACAUAAAGCUAUCGGAAGAUAAAGAGAAUUUGAGAAGGCUGUACUUUUAUUUCUCAGCAUGUGAAAGAAUAUAGUACAAGUGCUAUUCUGGAUAUACCACAUCUAAAUAUGAAUACACCAUGUUAGAAAGAAAUCAACUGGUCAAGUUUUUUACCCUGGAUAACAUCUAAUGAGAUUUAUCAGACUUCCAACAGCAAUUUUCAUCACACAACUAAGCAUGGUAUUAUUAUAUCUGUGACUGAGAACUCUAGAAAUUUUGAUAGCUUUCAGUCAGAUACUUAUCUCUGGACACAAAGAGAAAUUUUACAAUUGUACUACUGCAAAGUUG
Molecule: long non-coding RNA, 1353 nt
Organism: Pseudopipra pipra
Lineage: Eukaryota; Metazoa; Chordata; Aves; Passeriformes; Pipridae
Exons: 3
Source: RefSeq, a predicted model, not a curated record